GACGAACGCUGGCGGCGUGCUUAACACAUGCAAGUCGAACGGAAAGACCCUGCUUUUGUGGGGUGCUCGAGUGGCGAACGGGUGAGUAACACGUGAGUAACCUGCCCUUGACUUUGGGAUAACUUCAGGAAACUGGGGCUAAUACCGGAUAGGAGCUCCUGCUGCAUGGUGGGGGUUGGAAAGUUUCGGCGGUUGGGGAUGGACUCGCGGCUUAUCAGCUUGUUGGUGGGGUAGUGGCUUACCAAGGCUUUGACGGGUAGCCGGCCUGAGAGGGUGACCGGCCACAUUGGGACUGAGAUACGGCCCAGACUCCUACGGGAGGCAGCAGUGGGGAAUAUUGCACAAUGGGCGGAAGCCUGAUGCAGCAACGCCGCGUGCGGGAUGACGGCCUUCGGGUUGUAAACCGCUUUCGCCUGUGACGAAGCGUAAGUGACGGUAAUGGGUAAAGAAGCACCGGCUAACUACGUG
This 468-nucleotide ribosomal RNA is filed under the name uncultured bacterium. RNAcentral describes it as "partial 16S ribosomal RNA". It matches the Rfam family "Bacterial small subunit ribosomal RNA", at positions 28 to 507 of the family's 1533-position model. The record is from RNAcentral.